UAAACGGAGAGUUUGAUCCUGGCUCAGGAUGAACGCUGGCGGCGUGCCUAACACAUGCAAGUCGAACGAUGAAGUCAUUUGCGAGUCUUUCGGGACAAGCUGUUGAUGGAAGAGU
RNAcentral lists this ribosomal RNA (115 nucleotides) under Coriobacteriales bacterium. RNAcentral describes it as "partial 16S ribosomal RNA". It matches the Rfam family "Bacterial small subunit ribosomal RNA", at positions 1 to 118 of the family's 1533-position model. The record is from RNAcentral. Lineage: Bacteria; Bacillati; Actinomycetota; Coriobacteriia; Coriobacteriales.